Molecule: non-coding RNA, 15075 nt
Organism: Oryctolagus cuniculus (rabbit)
Lineage: Eukaryota; Metazoa; Chordata; Mammalia; Lagomorpha; Leporidae
Source: RefSeq, a predicted model, not a curated record
CGAGGUCACGUGUGGGGGCGGGGAGACCGCUAGCGCACCAGCCCCGCCCCGACGCGCAUGCUCGCUCGGCCUUCACAGCUCAGGCCAGUGGGGGCGCGAACGUCUUGACGCCAUGGCUGCUGCUGGGGACUUGAGGGCUUUGGGGCCGGCAGGCCAGGUCUUUCUUGCUUUGGGCAGAACACGGACCCUGUGUAGAAGGCGCUGUCGGGUAAAUACAGAUAGCAGUUCAUGGCAGUGUUGACAGAUGCAGAACUUCUGGAAGAGCUGCUACUCAGGGUUUCUGUUGAGAAAUCUGCUGUCAUUCUGAUGGAAGAUUCCUUAAAGGCGAUUUGGCAUUCCUCUUUUACAUAUUUUAAGGUAUCCUUUUUAUGUUUUACUUUUAAAGUUUGACUGUAAUGUGUCAUGGUGAAAAUCUUUUCUGAUCAUGCCUGUGGGUUCCAUGUGCUUUUCACAUUUGGAUGUUCAUAUCUUUCUCAAAAUUGGGGACAUUUUCUACUUUAUUUCACUAAAUAAGUUUUCUAAGCUUUUCUCUUUUCCAUAUCUUCAGGAACUCCUAAGACUCAUAAAUUUGGUCAUUUGACGAUAUCCUGUACAUCCUAAGACUGUUUUCAGUCCUUCUGUUUUGUCCUUAUUUUUUGCCUGAGAUAUUUCAAAAGACCUGUCUUCUAGAUGAGAUGAUCUUUUGCCUCACCAAGCCUGUUGUAACUUUUUAUUUGACUUAUUGAGUUUAUUUUUACUUGGCUUGUUGAAUACACAUAUAUUAUUUGACUUCUUGAAUGUUUCAUUUCUAAUAUUUUUGUCAGAUUUUUCUUUAAUACCUCUAUCUCUUUGCAGAAUUUCUCAUCCAUGUCAUGUAUGGAUUUCCUUAGUUCAUGUAACAGUUUCUCUGUGUGUGUGUGUGUUUUUUUUUUUUUUUUUUUGACAGGCGGAGUUAGACAGUGAGAGAGAGAAAGGUCUUCCUUCCAUUGGUUCACCCCCCAAAUGGUCGCUACAGCCGGCGUGCUGCACCAAUCGGAAGCCAGGAGCCAGGUGCCUCCUCCUAGUCUCCCAUGCGGGUGCAGGGCCCAAGGACCUGGGCCAUCCUCCACUGCACUCCCGGGCCACAGCAGAGAGCUGGACUGGAAGAGGAGCAACUGGGACAGAAUCCGGUGCCCCAACUGGGACCAGAACCCGGAGUACCGGUGCUGCAGGCAGAGGACCAGCCCAGUGAGCCGCGGCGCUGGCCUGUGUGUGUGUGUGUGUGUGUGUGUGUUUGACAGGCAGAGUGUACAGGGGGAGAGAGAGAAAGGGAGAAAGGUCUUCCUUUUGCCAUUGGUUCACCCUCCAGUGGCCGCCGCAACCAGUGCACUGCGGCCGGUGCACCUAGCUGAUCUGGCAGGAGCCAGGUGCUUAUCCUGGUCUCCCAUGGGGUGCAGGGCCCAAGCACUUGGGCCUUCCUCCACUGCCUUCCCGGGCCACAGCAAAGAGCUGGCCUGGAAGAGGGGCAACCGGGAAAGAAUCUGGCGCCCUGACCGGGACUAGAACCUGGUGUGCGGGCGCCACAAGGCGGAGGAUUAGCCUGUUGAGCCGCGGCGCUGGCCACAGUCCAAUAUUAAUGUAUUAUUAUAUUCCUUUUGGGGAGUCAUUUUGCCUUCCUUGUUCAUGUUAAUUUUUUUCCACAUUGGUUUGGGGUUUUUUUAAAAGAUUUAUAUUUUAUUUAUUUGAAAGGCAGAGUUACAGAGAGAAAGAAAAGGGACAGAGAGAGAGGUCUUCCAUCUGGUUCACUCUCCAAAUGGCUACCAUGGUCGAGGCUGUUCCUAAAACCAGGGACCUGGAGCUUCUUCCAGGUCUCCCACGUGGGUGCAGGGGCCCAAGCCCUUGGGCCAUCUCCUACUGCUUUCCUAGACCAUAGCAGAGAGCUGGAUUGGAAGUGGAGCAUCCAGGACUCAAACCAGCACCAAUAUGGGAUGCCGGCACUGUAGGCAGUAGCCUUACCUGCUACACCACAGCACUAACUCUUCUACAUGGUUUUUUAUGCAUCUGAGGGAAUCACUUGUCAUCCCUUGGGGAUGGAUUUUUUUUUUUUUAUUGUUAUUGAAGGUUUCAUUCUUUGACUUGUGCCUCUCUGGGUCAGUGGAGGGCCUGAGACUUGUACUGGAGUUCCAGAGGUGUGUGCUAGGUGAAACCAGGAAGCUCUGUCCACCAUUGGGAGUGGGGUAAGAGUCUAGAGUGACACCCAAGUUGGGCUGCUAUACCACCUCUGGCUUCAGUCAGCAGUAGGAGGGGAUCUUGGAACUAGUGUGUUCAAAAUCCCAGCCCUUCUGUGUGCCAAAAUGAACCGGCUUAUUUACAGCCUAGAGUGAACUCACGGUGCCCGUGCACCCCACCCACCCAGACACUCACACCAUACAGAACACGAGCCUACUUCGGGGUGUGUCCCCUGAGCCCUCUGUGAGAUCUGUCCGCAGUUGCAGGGAACUCAGUUUCUGCAGUCAGGCUGCACAGGUGCACAGCAACCCAGCCACAUCCUAGAGCCCGCUCAGCUCCGCGGCCUGUGCCCCGGACUCAGUCACAGGGACAAGAGGCCUGCUCUCCGCCCUGGGAGCUGCCUCGUACCCAGCGUGAGCUCCCUGCAGCUCCCGAAUCAGGACACAGAUCAGCCACAACUCCACCUCAGCAAAUCGAGACUGGCACUUUGGUGGGUGGAGGGGAGAGAAGAAGCAGCGUGGUCUCCCUUCACGGAGUAAAGUAGUUGCUCGGCACCCCCGCCAGUCCCCCCGGCCAGACUGAAAGCCAAGGCGGACCGGGGAAUUCUCCCUCAGUCAAAGCCACCAGUGGCGUGGGCUGCAGCAUCCUGUUCUCACCUCGCCUGAGCAGGUGGCGGUCCCAGCCAGGCACCUGCCGUGAAUGUGCAGGCGUCACUGGUGGCAUGCAGCCAAUGGAUGUGUGUUUGUCCUCUCCCUACUGUUCUGUGGAGCCUCUGCCCUGUUCUGUCACUCUUCACUGAGAACAUCUCUCAAUGAGUCCCCUGGGAACACGGUCUUGCCUUUGUGUUUCUGGUAUCCAUGGUGGCUGAGGUCAGUGUGGCUUCUCCCUAUUCAGCCACCGUGGAUCUCCCCAUUUUUGCUUAUACAGCACUCUCCCAAGACUUAUAUCCAGGACCUUGCAGGUUUGCAUGUGCUGUUGUUGACCAGAGCUUUAUUUGAGUCAGAGGGGCAUUGGUCAGGGCAGAAGGGAAAGUGGGCAUGGGGAGGACUCCCCGAUUCUCAGCUGAAUGUUCCUGCUUCAGCACGAAGCGGAGGUGGAGAACUCUGUGCCUCGCUAGAAAGGUUUCCAGAGCAGCCAGGCAGAGAGCCCCCGUCCUGUUAGGUCAGGGAGCACUGUGCUCCGAGCAGCACCUGGUUUACCUCGAUGGGCCUGCCCGAGUUCAGAACUGCAAGACCUGCACCCUGGGGAACUCCGUAGUUCCGCACAAAUCCAGAGGGUCAUUGUUGCUUGCAGUGCAGACAAGCUCGGCAUCGAUAGACAAGGCUUCAAACCUACAGAGAGAAAAGGCAAAAAUAGACCAACGGAACCAUGCAGACCAAAUCUUCUGCACAGCACAGGAAACCUGUCAGCAGAGUGAAGAGAUAACUUCCAUAAUGGGAGGAAAUGUCCGUAGACUGUCAUCCAGCCAGGGGUAAAUAUCCAGAACAUACAAGGACCUCGGGGCCGGCGGCAGUGCAUAGUAGGUUAAGCCACCACCUGCGGUGCCAGUAUCCUUUAUGGGUGCUGCUUCACAUCCCAGCUGCUCCUCUUCUGAUCAGGCUCUGUGCUAUGGCCUGGGAAAGCAGAAGAAGAUGGCCCAAGUCCUUGGGCCCCUGCACCCGCAUGGGAGACCCAGAGGAAGCUCCUGGCUCCUGGCUUCGGAUCAGCGCAGCUCCUGCUGUUGCAGCCAUUUGGAGAGUGAACCAAAGGGUAAGAGACCUCUCUGUUUCUCCCUCUCUCUUUAUGUAAUUUCUCCUCUCAAAUAGAUAAAUGAAUCUUUAAAAAAAAUAAAGUUAAAAAGGACCUCAAACAACUCAACAGCAAAAAAAAAUCUGAUUAAAAAUGGGUAGAUGAUCUACAUAGACAUUUCUCAUAUGAACAAGUAUAAAUGGCCAACAACUACAUUAAAAAAUGUCCAGCAUCACUAAUCAUCACAAAAUGCAAAUCCAAACCACAGUGAAGGCCAAGCAUUUGACUUUAGUAGUCUGGAUGCAGGUUCAUCCAUUCACGUCCCUGCGUUCAAGACUCGACCGGUUCCUGACUCCAGCUUCCCGCCAAUGCAGACCCUGGGGGGCAAUGGCUGUGUCUCUAAUGGUAGGGCUUUUGUCACUCACACGGGAGAGCUGGGUUGUGUUCCCACCACUUGGCUCCCAGCUUCAGCGUGGCUCAGUUCCCACUGUUGUAGGCAUUUGGGGGAUGAACCAAAUGAUGGGAUCUCUCAUUUUCUUUCUCUCUUCCCCCAAAAUAAAUAAAUAAGAACCCAUGAUGAGUUAUCAUCUCACACCAGUUAAAAUGUCUAUAAUUUAAAAAAAAUAAUAACAAAUUCUGGGGAGGAUGCAGAGAAAGAGAAAUUCUUACACACUGUUGGCUGGAAUGUAAAUUAGUACAGCCAUUAUGGAAAACAGAAUAGAACUUCUUCAAAAAGCUAAACAUAGAAAUACGACGUGACCCAGCGAUCCCACUGCUGGGUUUGGUUCCAAGAGAAAUGCAGUCAAUCUGUCAAAGAGGCGUCUGCACACUUCUGCUCACUGCAGCAGUGUUCUCAAGGCCAGGACAGGGAAUUAGCGUAUGUUUCUGUCAGUGGAUGAAUGGAUAAGAAAAAUAUGGAACGUGUACACAAGUGGAAUAUUAUUCAGUCAUAAAAAAGACUGCAGUCCUGUCAUCUGUGGCAGUAGAGAUGGAGCACUAUGCUAAUGGAGUAAGCCAGGCACAGGCAGACAAACGUAGCGUGUUCUCACUCAUACAUGGAAGCAGAAACUGUGGACCUCUUGGAAGCAGAGAGAAUAGUGCUUACCGGAGGCUGGGCGGGGUACCAGGGAAGGGGAUAGAGAACAGUUGGCUAAUGAGUACAAAUACAGUUUUAAGGAGGAUGACGUGCUAGUGUUUCAUAGCACAGUGGGGCAACUGUGGUUGGCAGCCAUUUAUUGCAUGUUUCAAAACAGCUAGAAGAAAGGAUUUUGAAUGUUCCCAAUACAAGGAAGUCAUACAUGUUUGAGAUGACGAUAUGUUAAUUACCCUGAUUUGAUCAGUACAUACUGUAUACAUGUAUCAAAAUAUCACACAGAACUCCAACAAGAUGUACAAUUAUUAUGUGUCAGUUUAAAAUAAGCCAACUUGGGACUAGCACUGUGGCCCUGCCACCCACAUGGGAGACCCAGAUGUUACUUCAGGCUCCUGCCUUUGGCCUGACCCAGCCUUUUGGGAGAGUGAAUCAGGGUUUGCAAGAUUCUCUCUCUGUCUCUCUGUUUCUCUCUCUCUCUCUCAAAUAAAAAUGAAAAUAAGUAAGUUUUUGAAAAAUUGUAGCAUGUCUUAAGAUUUACAUUUAACAAAGUAACCCACUUAAAACACUUCAAAUAUGCAAUUUAUUAUGUUCAUGCUAUUCGUAAAAUAAUUUCAGACUUUUAAGGACAUUAAAUUACACACCCCAUAAGUUAAAAAAUGUAAGGUGAGCAUCUUCUCCUUUCUGUUGGUCUAACUCUAUGACUGCAGGAAUGACCCUACAGAGCUGAGACAUCGAAAUUCUAAAUGUAAGGUUCCCCACUGAUGCAAGACCUGGCUGUGACAGGUCCAAAUGGGGUGGGCAGGGUGAGUGGUCAGCUCACCUUUAAACUGGCAAAAUGUAAGAGACUGGGGAGGGGGUUACCAAGAACAAGGCAUGCCUGCCCCAGGCUUACCCUACGGCGACACUGUAGGGAAUUUUUAAAGAAUAAUAAAACUGGCUGAGGGGGCUGGGGGUACUUCAUUCAUCGCCAAUUAUGAAGCUGCUCACCAGCAUCCCCUGUCAGAGUCGCUGAGUCCCGGCUGCUCUGCUUCCAAUCCAGCUUCCUGUUAACGCACCUGGGAAACCAGUGUCUGAUGGCCUGAGUCCUUGGGCCCCUGGCACCCACACAGGAGACCUGGAUAGAGUUCCUAGCUCUUGGCUUCCGCCUGGCCCAGCCCCAGCCGCUAUGGCCAUUUCGGGAGUGAACCAGCAGACUGGAAGAUUCCUCCCUUCUCUCCCUCUCACUCUGCCUCUCUUUCACGUAAAUGAAUAAAUCAUUAAAAAAAAAAAAAACUGCUUUGGAGAGCAGGAUGUCCAGCUUCCCAGUGCAGACCUCUGAAGUGCGAGCAACGAACAGCGAGUUAAAAAUGGGUGCUGUUGAGCAAGGCAGGAACGUUUUUGUCCAGAAGGGUGCCUGGUGCCACACUGUGGAAAGGGGGGCAAGCACAAGACUGGACCAAGUCUCCCUGGUCUGUUUGGGCGGAAGACAGGCAAGACAGUUGGCUUCCCCUGCACGGAUACCACCAAGAGCAAACGCAUCCCCUGGGGAGGAUUUGGAGAAUCCAAGAAAUACAUCCUGGAACCAAAAUGAUCCUCGCUGGCAUUAAGACAAGAAUGAAAGGGCAGGCUUGAUAGCUCAUCUCAGAAAUGAUACUAAUGAGUAAUGAUUGGCAACUGCCUCAUUUAUUACAAAACUGGAAUGCCUCAUGACUUUUUUAUGUGCACCAUAAUUAAAUUCUCAUGAAUGGCUGACAAAAUAUUUUUCUCCGACAGUCCUGAUUUAAAUAAAGUUGCCUCGUGUGGUUACAUAAAUAUGGUUGGGUUUACUGAAAGUUUGGUAGUAAUUCCAGUUCCGUAAUUGCCCUUACUGUUUUCCCCUUCCAAGGAUAUGAUUGGACUCAACUAAUAACGUUCAGCUCUUCGCAAAGAUUGUGAAUGCCAUCCCAAAACCUGCUGGGAGAUUGGUCUUUGAUCUGUUGCUUCAUUCCCCCAAACAACUGCAACGGCCGGCCAGAGCCGAACAGCUCUGAAGUCAGGAGCAGGAGUGGUCAGAGUUAAGACAGAGUCACUUGUGUCAGCCCUAACAAAACCAAUCAGUGCGGCCAGGAGGUUAUGAAGAAAGGGUUGUUAGAUGUAAUCACCUGAUACUAAUGAUCACAAAAGACUCCACCAGAACCACAUUACACAGAGGCCACCACAGCCUUAGGCCACAGCCUGCAGCACCAGCAUCCCAUAAGGGCACUGGUUUGAGUCCCUGCUGCUCCUCUUCUCAUCCAGCUCCCUGCUAAUGAGCCUAGGAAAGCAGUGGAAGAUGACCCAAGUGUUUGGGCCCCUUGCACCCAUGUGGAAGACUGGGAAGAAGCCCCUGGCCCCUGGCUUUGACCUGGUCCAGCCCAAGCCGUUGGUGACAAUUUGGAGAGUGAACCAGCGGAUGGAAAAUCUCUGUCUCUCUCUAACUCUGCCUUUCAAAUAAAUCAACAUUUACACACACACAAAAAUGAUACUUCUGCAAGGACACCUGCCCAUCAAUGGUCUGUCCAAUCUCAGACUAAUGCCUCCUUGCUUACUACUCAUUGUGGCUGAAGAUAAUUGUCUCAAAACAUUUGAUGCAACCCUCCUCUUCAUUUUUCCCUUUAAAACCUUUCCUUUGCCUCAACCUCCUUGAAUCUUCCUAUAGUUUACUAUAGCAUUGUAUAUUGGCACUGUGAUGCCAUGGUAAUUCCAUUGCCAUGCUCUGGCACUCCCAUAUGAAUGCCAUGAUUCUCCAGGGAGCCUCCCUCUCUCUGAUUCUUGUCUGCAUUAGGUUGACAACCCAGAGAAGCCCAGAGCAGGUGCAGAGGGAGCCCUUCGCCCUCGUUUCCCCAGCUUGCUGUUCUCUGCCCGGGUGAAUCUGCUGUCAGGUUGAGGCAGAGGCCCCCUGCUGACUUUAUUUGGGGUGCUCUGAAAAGGUUGCUUCAACAAGCCUGCAGGCAGCCGCCUCACGACUGUGGGCUCCGGUGAGUGCUCACGUCGAGGUUCUCUUGUGUUCUGAGUGGGAGUUCACGUCUUCCCUUGGCUUCUGAGGACACCUGGCAGAAUUCCGUUCUAACCAGUAAGGAAGCUGCCCCCCCUCUGCCUGCUUUGGCAGCACCCCUGGAGCUCUGGAGCGCACGGUGACAUCUUGUGGCCUCUUUCUCGUAACUGCUUUCCACGAUUCUUCAAUGACAGAGAGUUAAUCUGCACAGGCGUCUGGUCUCUGUCUAGCUCUCUGUUUUUUCCCUCUGCCUACUUUGAAUCUGCUUUUUUUUUUUCUAUACUAAGAUAAUUUGGUUUUGCAAGUUUGCUUGGAAGUUUGUUAUUUCAGCCAGUCCUGGCUGAAAUGUAAACAUUGAAAGAAGUUAACUCCUAAACUCAUUGGAGAUGGAAAAAAAAAAAAAAACUAAGCUGCUUUGAGAAUAAAUAAGCUGUUUUAAAUUUGUUGGUAAAAAUAUCUUCAACAUUUUAGCAUACAUUCUGCCUGGUUUGCUGGCCAGUCAGAGUUAUAUUUAUUUCUUUAAACAUCCAAGAUCAUGAGAGUGUAGGAGCCGACAUUGUGGCAUAGCGGGCUAAGUUACCACUUGUGGGGAGCAACUCGGACUAGACUAAGUUACUGGAAUUAAGACUUAUUCUAUGCAUCUGCUCUCCCACAAUAUGGCGCUGGGAGAGGAGGAAACAGCUUCUACGCAGCUGCCUCUUGCCAACUUGAGUGAUGACCUCCAGGAGCUGAUCCUGCUCCUGAUUGGAGGAGAGCAGCGUACUCGGCAUGUGGGCAGCUGAGUUGGGAUUGGCGGAAGAGGACUAUAAAGGAGGAGAGAGACAACAUGCACCAGGGACAUCUAAGAGGAACAUCUAUCUGAAGGAACACCUGUGCAGCCCCCGAGAGAGCCGGCCUGCGGUGUGCCACUCUCCUGCGGAAGUGGGGAAAGUGGCUAGGGGGAACCGCCCUUCCACGGAGGUGGAAGGGUCGGUAGCCAACCCGGGAAGAACCAGCAGCAAACCUGGGAAGGGCCAAGCAGACAAAAGAACAGCGCAGGGUCCUGUGUCGUUCCUCCACGAAGACGGGGAACGACACCACUUAUGGCACAGCAUCCCCUAUCAGAGCAUGGGUUGUAAUCCCAGCUGCUCUGCUUCUGAUCUAGUGCCCUGCUAAUGCACCUGGGAAAGGUGGCCCAUGUGCUUGGGUCCCUAUCACCCAUGCAGGAAACCCAGAUGGAGUUCCAGGCUCCUGGCUUUCGCCUGAACCAGUCCCAGAUCAUUGCAGCCAGUUGGAGAGUGAACCAACAAAUGGGAGAUCUCUCUCUCUCUGUGUCACUUUGACUUUCGAAUAAAAUAAACAACUAUUUUUAAGAUCAUAAGAGUAUAAGCUUGGCCUAACAAUAAAUAAGCAAGUAAAAUAUAAUAACACAAUGUCCAUUUCUUCUGUCAACUAUAUCAUUUUAUCUUACAGGGUUUUUCUUUGGUAAGAAAAUAAAAUGAUGACUGUUCUUGUCUGCUGUCUCAGUUUUCAUAAUCUAGGAACAAUUGCUACAAAUAAAUAAGUCGAGCAAUGUAACUGAGAUAGAUGUUUCUAGAUACAAAUUCAAGUGUUCUUGACUUUUUUUUUUUUUUUUUUUUUUGACAGGCAGAGUGGACAGUGAGAGAGAGAGAGAGAGACAGAGAGAAAGGUCUUCCUCUCUUGCCGUUGGUUCACCCUCCAAUGGCCGCUGCGGCCGGUGCACCGCGCUGAUCUGAAGCCAGGAGCCAGGUGCUUCUUCCUGGUCUCUCAUGCGGGUGCAGGGCCCAAGCACUUGGGCCAUUCUCCACUGCACUCCCGGGCCAUAGCAGAGAGCUGGCCUGGAAGAGGGGGAACCGGGACAGAAUCUGGUGCCCCGACUGGGACUAGAACCCCGGGUGCCGGCGCCACAGGCAGAGGAUUAGCCCAUUGAGCCGUGGCGCCGGCCGACUUCUUAACUUCUAUAAAAUAAGCAACAUGUUUGGCUCUAUCAAAAAAUACAACAGUUUUCAGAAACUGUUGGUAUAUAACAAACAAUUCAAGACUGCUUUAAAGUUACUUAGAGUUUAAAAUUCUUUAUAUUCUUGGGACCGGGGCUGUGGCAUAUUGGGUAAAGCUGCCACCCUCAGUGCCGGAUCCCUUAUGGGUACCCGUUUGUGUCCCUGCUGCUCCACUUCUGAUCCUGGUCCCUGUUAAUGUGCUUAGGAAAGUAGUGGAAGAUGGCCCUGGUGCUCAGGCCCCUGCACCCACGUGGGAGACGAAGAAACAGUUCCUGACUCCUGACUUCGGAUUGACCCAGGUCUGACCAUUGCAGGGUCUCCCAAGUGCUGGGGCCCAAGCACCUGGGCCAUCAUGCAUUGCCUUCCCAGGCCGUUAGCAGAGAGCUGCAUUGGAAGAGGAACAGCCAGGACUCAUACCACUGCCCAUAUGGAAUGCCAGCACCACAGGCAGAGAGGCUUAACUUUUCUAGGCCACAGCACAAAGCCCAAGGACAAAUCUUGUGAAAAGAAAUUUGUAUGUGAUGAAGUUGGCUAUAAUUAUAAAAAAAUUAUAAUAAAUAUUAAGUAUUAACACACUGAUAUAAAACAAUUUAAUUCUCUAUGUUUAAAGCAAGAUUAUCUUAAAAUAUUGAUCUGCUCUUAAUAAAAUUUAGAAGAACUGGCCUAAGAAGCUAAGACUUUGUUAAGAUAAUUUCUUAUGUUUUCUACUGCCCUUAUUUGGUUUUGGUUAAUUAGGAAAAACUGAGUCUUAAAAGAGUUAAUUUUUUUACAUCUAUUUGCUUUUUAAGUCUUUUAAAUGAUCACUUUAUUAAUUCUGGUUAAAACACUAAUUAAAUGAAAGAUGAUUAUUUCACAAUGAUUUGUGAUCUUCUUUGACCAGAUGUUUUGAAUCUUUUGACAAUUUUUUUUAAGAUUUAUUUAUUUAUUUGAAAGUCUGAGUUACACAGAGAGAGGAGAGGCAGAGAGAAAGAGAGAAAGGUCUUCCAUCCAACGGUUCACUCCCCAGAUGGCUGCAACAGCCAGAGCUGUGCCAAUCCAAAGCCAGGAGCCAGGAGCCAGGAGCCAGGAGCCAGGAGCCAGGAGCCAGGAGCUUCUUCCAGGUCUCCCACAUGGGUGCAGGGGCCCAAGGACUUGAGCCAUCUUCCACUGCUUUCCCAGGCCAUAGCAGAGAGCUGGACAGGAAGUGGAGCAGCCGGAUCUCGAACAGGCACCCAUAUGGGAUGCCGACGCUUCAGGCCAGGGCGUUAACCCAUUGCGCCACAGUGCCAGCCUCAUUGAUGACUAUUGUUUAAAAGUUAUAUUUGUAUGGGUAUAUUAUUAACGUUCUGAACAUGUAAAAUUUAUAGAAGUGUUAUGUUCCUGUUACGGCAUUGUCAAUCAUGGUUGUUAUCUUAGAAUGCUAAAUGCAAUAAAAAUAACUCAAUGACCUUGUCAGUGGCUAAACACUAAUCAAAAUUGUAACCAUGGGAACAAACCUAGCAGUUAUCACUCCGCAUUCCACCUUGGAGAGCCUGGGCUGGAUUUCAGCUCCGCCUCCUGACUCCUGCUUCUUGCUGCUGCGGAUCCUGAGAUGCAGCAGUGGUAACUCGGGUAAUUUGGGUUCCUGCCCCCCAUAUGGGGCACCCCGAUUAAGUUCCUGGCACUAGGCUUUAGUCCAGGCCCAGCCCUGGCCAGUGUAAGUAUUCGGGGGGUGAACCAGUGAAUGGGAGCUCUGUCUCUAGCUCUGCCUCUCUUUGCCUCCCAAAUAAAUAAGGAAAAAAUGUUAAAGCAAUUUUAACCAUAGUUAUUCUGUGUCUUUUGCUAUCCACAGUUUUGAUUCUUCUCCAAAAGCAUUUACAAUCAAAUUCAUGAUAAAGAGCCUAAAAAGUAUUCUUAAGUGCAGUUUUCUGACAAAACUAAAUUCAUCUUACAAACAAAUUGGUUUUUCUGUAGUUAUCUUUGGUAAAAUUGGUAUAACUAUACGGAAAAAAAGUUUUCUUUCUUGGCUUGAAAAACUAUUAUGCAGACUGGAUUUGUUAUGCUCUUGUUGGGUUUAUUUUGUGUUUCCCUUUUUACGCUUUGUACUUUUUGCAUAUCAAAAUUUUGCGAAAGUACAACUCCUAACAGAUGAAGCUAAACUUAACAGUGGACUCCACGCGGUCUUAGCCUGAGAACUCCUCCUUCGAAACUUGCUUGUUGCUCAUUGUGGCUAAACUGCUUGCAUACUGACUCCUGACCAUCAUCACUUUACUCCCGUGUGGGACCAGACCACCCCGGGAAUGAGGGACAAUCAAACCCCGACCACAGCACUCCUCAGUGAUGUUCUCAGAGAAAAGAUCUUGCACAAAAAGGGAAAGUGUGAAAGGAGUGGAAAAGUUGUCAGAAUCAAAAUGGAGUCACUUGUGUCAACCCCCCCCCCCCAAAAAACUAAAAUGAAUAAAACCGGGAGCUUAUGAAGAAAGGGUUGUUACCCAUGGUUACCUGAUAGUAACUACGGCAAAACACGCCUCCAGAGCCGCAGCUUCACACAGAGGCUGCCGCAGCCUUGACAAGAAGUACACCUCCAAGACACCUGAUCAGCCUUGGUCACUUCCACCUUGGACUAAUGUCACCUUGCUUGUUAAUCAUUGUGGCUGAAGGUAAUUGUCUCAGAACAGCUGACAUGAUCCUCCUCCCUUUUGCCUUUAAACCUUUUCCUUGCCUCAACCUCCGUGACUGCCCGUGGCAUGCAUAUUCCCCCUGCAAGCUCUGGUAUUCACAGAGAGAGAUCACAAUUCAUUAGAAAGUCUCUCUCCCUGAUUGCUGACUGUUUUUUGACUUAGGUUGACACUAACAAAAGGCAGAGAGGAACUGAAAUUAGUGAAAUCAGCCAUUUUUCUUGUUCCCAGCCUACCCAUCAUGGAUCUAGAGUUUCAGUAGCAGGUGGCACAGGGAACCAAGAGUGGACUCUGAGACUAGCAAGAGACUGAUCCAGACCCCAAUCUAUAGUUGCUGCACAGCCUGCACGUUACAGACUCAACUGUGCUUCCCCAAAAUUCCUGUGUUGAAGUCCCCAACCUCAGAAUGAGGCUGCCUUUGGAGAUAGGACUUUUAGAGAAGUAACUAAGAUAACACCAAGUUGUAGCAGUGGGCCCCAAACCGGCCUGGGCCAUGUCCUUACAGGAGGAGAUUGGGACAGACACACAACAGAGGGAAGACCGUAUGGAGACACAAGGACAAGAUGGCCACCUGCAAGCCAAGGAGAGAGGUCUCAAAGAAACCAACGCUGCUGGCACCUCCAGCACUGUGAGGAAGUAAAUUUUUCCUUGAUUCAGCCGUCCAGUCUAUGGUAUUUCAUUAUGGCAUCCCUAGCUAACAAACACAUGGGGUCAGUGCUUUAACUCCCCUGGGUCACCACAAAGAGGGUUUAGUGCUUAAUUUAUUGGGUUGCUUUGAGGAUUAAAUGAAACUGAAAGCAUCUGGCACGUCGAGGUGCUCAAUAAAUAUUUCUUCCCUCUCUGAAUCAGUGCCUAUUUUUAAGGCUGAAGAAGGAUUUAUGUAUAAUUACUGAAACUGUGCUUCAACUGUCUGAUUAGCUGUUCCAUAUAUAGCAGAUUCCCAAGUCUCCCAGAGCCUGGAGCGAGUCCAGGAGCUCAGCACAGCCUGCCCACCGUGGGAACCAGGCAGGUGCACGAGGGUUCUUGUGAGCAGCUGCAAAGGCCUGGAAGAGCAGAAUACGUGCUACACAGCCAGUAGUCAAUCCGAUAAGAAGCUGUUCCUUGCUAACGGGAAAUGGAGAGAGAGAGGUCUACCAGGGGACUGUCCCCCAGCCCCUCCCACCCAGCUACCCAAGCACUGUACACUUUGAUCAUUCCCGGAUGAAAUGUUUAUAUAAUGAUCUGAUUCACAUCUGUAACACCUGAGAGGCUCCUCUUGAUUCUGCAGCUCUUGUGAGAAGACGCGGCGAGGAAGAGGCAGAACCCUCACCACGCUGGCGGAGAAAGGGAGAAAAGCCAGGAGAGCUUCCUUGCAAGUUAAGUGAAAAGUUGCGUGGAGAGAAGGAAACGCCUACGGGUCAGCAACUCGGAUCUGCAUAGAAAGAGGGAGAGGGAGUGGGGAAAGUAAAAUAAAAACUUUCAUUUCUCUUAUUAGUUGAUUGAACAGCUGAUUGUUCAAAACAGUAACGGACACAACACAUUUGAUUCUGUUUGCUUGGGAAGUGCAUAUCACGCAUGCUUACAUGGGCAGUACCUGUGCUUCUCUGUGCGUAGAAAUACGUUUAUGUUAAGUUAAACGAAUGACAGCUGUGAUGCAAAGGACAAGAGGCAGGAAUGAGGGCAGUUUUGUUAUUUGAAGGUACUCAUACUAUUUGUGAUGCAGUGUGGUGCAUUUGAAAACAUCUCUAUAGGAGUUGUAAAUGUAUAUUACAACCUCUACGAUACCCACUGAAAGAAGUCGAAGAAAAAAGGGGGAAGCAGGUGUUGGCCUAGUGCGCAAGCCCCUGGCUGGAACACCUACUUCCCUAUCAGUGGGGAACCUGUUCCAGGCCCAGCUCCACUCCAGAUCCCAGCGUCCUGCUACCAUGCAUCCUGGGAGGCAGGCGGUGGCUCUGUAGUUGGGUCCCUGCAGCAAGGCAGGAUUCCUGGAUCGAGUUCCCAGCUCUCAGCUCCAGCUGUUGCAGAUAUCUGGGGUGAACCAGUGCGUGGAAGCUGUCCAUCUGGCAUUCUGUCUCUCUCAAGUAAGUAAAUACAAUUUUUAAAGUCAAAAUAGAAGUAUAAAUGAUAUGCUAAUAUAGAAAAUGGAAUAAUAAAAAAUGCUUAAUUAGCUGGCACUGUGGCUCACUAGGCUAAUCCUCUGCCUUGCGGUGCCAGCACACCGGGUUCUAGUCCCGGUUGGGGCGCUGGAUUCUGUCCCGGUUGCCCCUCUUCCAGGCCAGCUCUCUGCUGUGGCCAGGGAGUGCAGUAGAGGAUGGCCUAAGUGCUUGGGCCCUGCACCCCAUGGGAGACAAGGAGAAGCACCUGGCUCCUGCCAUCAGAUCAGCACAGUGUGCCGGCCGCAUUGCGCCGGCCGCGGCAGCCAUUGGAGGGUGAACCAACGGCAAAGGAAGACCUUUCUCUCUG